GACGAACCGUCCAAACGUUGUUCGGAAUCACUGGGCUUAAAGGGCGCGUAGGCGGGUUCCCAAGUCGGUGGUGAAAUCUUUCGGCCCAACCGGAAAAGUGCCGCCGAUACUGGGGACCUCGAGGGAGGUAGGGGUCGAGGGAACUUCCGGUGGAGCGGUGAAAUGCGUAGAUAUCGGAAGGAACACCGGUGGCGAAAGCGGCUCACUGGACCUCUUCUGACGCUGAGGCACGAAAGCUAGGGUAGCAAACGGG
This 253-nucleotide ribosomal RNA is filed under the name uncultured bacterium. RNAcentral describes it as "partial 16S ribosomal RNA". It matches the Rfam family "Bacterial small subunit ribosomal RNA", at positions 524 to 776 of the family's 1533-position model. The record is from RNAcentral.